Molecule: ribosomal RNA, 1019 nt
Filed under: uncultured organism
Description: bacterial SSU rRNA
Rfam family: Bacterial small subunit ribosomal RNA
Source: RNAcentral
GAGGAAUAUUGGUCAAUGGACGAGGGUCUGAACCAGCCAAGUAGCGUGAAGGAUGAAGGUUCUAUGGAUUGUAAACUUCUUUUAUACGGGAAUAAACGAAUCCACGCGUGGAUUUUUGCAUGUACCGUAUGAAUAAGGAUCGGCUAACUCCGUGCCAGCAGCCGCGGUAAUACGGAGGAUCCGAGCGUUAUCCGGAUUUAUUGGGUUUAAAGGGAGCGUAGAUGGGUUGUUAAGUCAGUUGUGAAAGUUUGCGGCUCAACCGUAAAAUUGCAAUUGAUACUGGCAGUCUUGAGUACAGUUGAGGUAGGCGGAAUUCGUGGUGUAGCGGUGAAAUGCUUAGAUAUCACGAAGAACUCCGAUUGCGAAGGCAGCUUACUAACCUGUAACUGACAUUGAUGCUCGAAAGUGUGGGUAUCAAACAGGAUUAGAUACCCUGGUAGUCCACACGGUAAACGAUGAAUACUCGCUGUAGGCGAUAUACAGUCUGCGGCCAAGCGAAAGCAUUAAGUAUUCCACCUGGGGAGUACGCCGGCAACGGUGAAACUCAAAGGAAUUGACGGGGGCCCGCACAAGCGGAGGAACAUGUGGUUUAAUUCGAUGAUACGCGAGGAACCUUACCCGGGCUUAAAUUGCAACCGAAUAUGGCGGAAACGCUAUAGCUAGCAAUAGCGGUUGUGAAGGUGCUGCAUGGUUGUCGUCAGCUCGUGCCGUGAGGUGUCGGCUUAAGUGCCAUAACGAGCGCAACCCUUGCCGAUAGUUACUAACAGGUUAUGCUGAGGACUCUGUCGGGACUGCCAUCGUAAGAUGUGAGGAAGGUGGGGAUGACGUCAAAUCAGCACGGCCCUUACGUCCGGGGCUACACACGUGUUACAAUGGGGGGUACAGAGGGCUGCUACCACGCAAGUGGAUGCCAAUCCCAAAAACCUCUCUCAGUUCGGAUUGAAGUCUGCAACCCGACUUCAUGAAGCUGGAUUCGCUAGUAAUCGCGCAUCAGCCACGGCGCGGUGAAUACGUUCCCG